RNAcentral lists this transfer RNA (72 nucleotides) under Pantoea agglomerans. RNAcentral describes it as "tRNA-Leu". The record is from RNAcentral. Lineage: Bacteria; Pseudomonadati; Pseudomonadota; Gammaproteobacteria; Enterobacterales; Erwiniaceae.
GCGAAGGUGGCGGAAUUGGUAGACGCGCUAGCUUCAGGUGUUAGUGUCUUAACGGACGUGAGGGUUCAAGUC